Molecule: ribosomal RNA, 534 nt
Filed under: uncultured Streptomyces sp.
Lineage: Bacteria; Bacillati; Actinomycetota; Actinomycetes; Kitasatosporales; Streptomycetaceae
Description: bacterial SSU rRNA
Rfam family: Bacterial small subunit ribosomal RNA
Source: RNAcentral
CCAAGGCGACGACGGGUAGCCGGCCUGAGAGGGCGACCGGCCACACUGGGACUGAGACACGGCCCAGACUCCUACGGGAGGCAGCAGUGGGGAAUAUUGCACAAUGGGCGAAAGCCUGAUGCAGCGACGCCGCGUGAGGGAUGACGGCCUUCGGGUUGUAAACCUCUUUCAGCAGGGAAGAAGCGAAAGUGACGGUACCUGCAGAAGAAGCGCCGGCUAACUACGUGCCAGCAGCCGCGGUAAUACGUAGGGCGCAAGCGUUGUCCGGAAUUAUUGGGCGUAAAGAGCUCGUAGGCGGCUUGUCACGUCGGAUGUGAAAGCCCGGGGCUUAACCCCGGGUCUGCAUUCGAUACGGGCUAGCUAGAGUGUGGUAGGGGAGAUCGGAAUUCCUGGUGUAGCGGUGAAAUGCGCAGAUAUCAGGAGGAACACCGGUGGCGAAGGCGGAUCUCUGGGCCAUUACUGACGCUGAGGAGCGAAAGCGUGGGGAGCGAACAGGAUUAGAUACCCUGGUAGUCCACGCCGUAAACGUUGGGA